UACCGGCUCGUAAAUCCGGUGGAAAGUCACAACUGCCAACGAUAACUUGGCUCUGGCUGCGUAACUAAAACCUACUCAGCCCGUCCUUCCGGUUGCCCGCCCACGGCGGCUGGAAAGGGCGUCAUCAAGGUGGGCUGGCCUCGAGUCCUCGGUCCGGGGACGGACAGGCGAGAUCAAUCGGACUAGCCUUCGCCGGUUUCGUCCGGCCUUCACGGCGGAGGCGAAACUCCAGGUCGGACUAAGCCUGUAGAGUCUUCCGUAGGCGUGCUUCCGGACGCGGGUUCAAUUCCCGCCGCCUCCACCA
RNAcentral lists this transfer-messenger RNA (304 nucleotides) under Acidobacteriota bacterium. RNAcentral's name for it is "Acidobacteria bacterium partial transfer-messenger RNA". It matches the Rfam family "transfer-messenger RNA", at positions 58 to 374 of the family's 374-position model. Rfam says of the family: Bacterial tmRNA, also known as 10Sa RNA or SsrA, is named for its dual tRNA and mRNA-like properties. Its role is to liberate the mRNA from a stalled ribosome. To accomplish this part of the tmRNA is used as a reading frame that ends in a translation stop signal. Lineage: Bacteria; Pseudomonadati; Acidobacteriota. The record is from RNAcentral.